GAUGAACGCUGGCGGCGUGCCUAAUACAUGCAAGUCGAGCGAACAGACGAGGAGCUUGCUCCUCUGACGUUAGCGGCGGACGGGUGAGUAACACGUGGAUAACCUACCUAUAAGACUGGGAUAACUUCGGGAAACCGGAGCUAAUACCGGAUAAUAUAUUGAACCGCAUGGUUCAAUAGUGAAAGACGGUUUUGCUGUCACUUAUAGAUGGAUCCGCGCCGCAUUAGCUAGUUGGUAAGGUAACGGCUUACCAAGGCAACGAUGCGUAGCCGACCUGAGAGGGAGUUCGGCCACACUGGAACUGAGACACGGUCCAGACUCCUACGGGAGGCAGCAGUAGGGAAUCUUCCGCAAUGGGCGAAAGCCUGACGGAGCAACGCCGCGUGAGUGAUGAAGGUCUUCGGAUCGUAAAACUCUGUUAUUAGGGAAGAACAAAUGUGUAAGUAACUAUGCACGUCUUGACGGUACCUAAUCAGAAAGCCACGGCUAACUACGUG
This 497-nucleotide ribosomal RNA is filed under the name uncultured bacterium. RNAcentral describes it as "partial 16S ribosomal RNA". It matches the Rfam family "Bacterial small subunit ribosomal RNA", at positions 28 to 507 of the family's 1533-position model. The record is from RNAcentral.